This 360-nucleotide long non-coding RNA is filed under the name Lupinus angustifolius (narrow-leaved blue lupine). RNAcentral describes it as "long non-coding RNA (LANG_LNC001019)". The record is from RNAcentral. Lineage: Eukaryota; Viridiplantae; Streptophyta; Magnoliopsida; Fabales; Fabaceae.
AGAAACAAUAGACCAUGUUUUAUUUCUCAUGAGAGCGUCAUAUUCAUUUUUCAUGGUUUGCUGUCAGCAUAGGUGUUGAACAGCUUGAUUGUAAGUGUGUGGCUCAAUGGUUGGAGUAGAGGAUAUGGUGGUAGAGAAUAUCUUGGGCUUGAGUGAGUUGGUGCAUGCCCUAUUGACCAUAGGAUGUGUAUUGUUAUUAGUAGGCCGAAAAUAAGAUGUGGAGGAUUGAGUAUGUUUGGCACGGGAGCUUAUAGUGGGUUGCUAAUAUGAGGGAGUAGUGGGAGGUGAGGAAGGAACAGAUGAGGAAAAUUGGUUGGAGGAAUGAGGAGGGGAGGGUGGUAGAUGUGAUAAAGGCAAGGC